This 301-nucleotide ribosomal RNA is filed under the name uncultured bacterium. RNAcentral describes it as "partial 16S ribosomal RNA". It matches the Rfam family "Bacterial small subunit ribosomal RNA", at positions 509 to 807 of the family's 1533-position model. The record is from RNAcentral.
CAGCAGCCGCGGUAAUACAGAGGGUGCAAGCGUUAAUCGGAAUUACUGGGCGUAAAGCGCGCGUAGGUGGUUUGUUAAGUUGGAUGUGAAAUCCCCGGGCUCAACCUGGGAACUGCAUCCAAAACUGGCAAGCUAGAGUAUGGUAGAGGGUGGUGGAAUUUCAUGUGUAGCGGUGAAAUGCGUAGAUAUAGGAAGGAACACCAGUGGCGAAGGCGACCACCUGGACUGAUACUGACACUGAGGUGCGAAAGCGUGGGGAGCAAACAGGAUUAGAUACCCCCGUAGUCCCUGUCUCUUAUAC